RNAcentral lists this transfer RNA (20 nucleotides) under Acrostichum aureum (coast leather fern). Its description in RNAcentral is "partial tRNA-Met". Lineage: Eukaryota; Viridiplantae; Streptophyta; Polypodiopsida; Polypodiales; Pteridaceae. The record is from RNAcentral. RNAcentral also lists the same sequence under 2 other names.
ACCUACUUAACUCAGCGGUU